UACGGGGGGAGCAAGCGUUGUUCGGAUUUACUGGGCGUAAAGGGCGCGUAGGCGGUCGUGACAAGUCACUUGAGAAAUCUCCGGGCUUAACUCGGAACGGUCAAGUGAUACUGUCGGACUAGAGUACAGAAGGGGCAACUGGAAUUCUCGGUGUAGCGGUGAAAUGCGUAGAUAUCGAGAGGAACACCUGCGGCGAAGGCGGGUUGCUGGGCUGAUACUGACGCUGAGACGCGAAAGCGUGGGGAGCAAACAGG
RNAcentral lists this ribosomal RNA (254 nucleotides) under uncultured bacterium. RNAcentral describes it as "partial 16S ribosomal RNA". It matches the Rfam family "Bacterial small subunit ribosomal RNA", at positions 524 to 776 of the family's 1533-position model. The record is from RNAcentral.